AGCAUGGUUAAUGCUUUGUUUGUGCUGGUUCGUAAGUUGUUUGUUUCCUACAUAAUUAUUAAUGUGGCAAUAUUCUUUGUGAAAAGACAACUGAACACACUGUACUGUACGUGUAUGCGUAAGCCCAACUCCAUGCAGCCAGUAAAACUCCAAUUCCCGUGAAGCCUCACGCCCACGUGUCAGGUGAGCCCCCGCUGCGCUCUAGUGCUGUAUUUAAACUGAGAAUGGCACGCUCUUCAGUAGUGCGCAGUCUUGCGGUGAAUAUGGAGAGGCGAGGGAGUUUCGUCGUAGAAGCGGGACAAAUUGCAAUUUCUGAGCUGUAUCUUGUGGAUAUCCUUUAUAGUUUUGGGCGCAGUCUUCGUUUUCUUCUCUUUGCGGAUGUUUAUUUUUUUUUAAAGAAGCCUUACUUUUGGAUCAAAUAUCUUUGUUUUUCUUCACUUUUAAGGAUGCAACUCUUCAUUGAUUUACUCCAUCACUGGUAUUUAUGUCACUACCACAGUUACCAGCUCGGCAUCCACGGGGUUUAUAAACAGUAUGUGAUUUGUUGUGGAUCUAACCAAACAUGGAUGAUUGUAUGUGCUCUUCGCAAUUUUUCAGCCCUUCAGCGGUAUAUAGCAUUGACCGGGCGGCGUUCUAUUCUGAAUUCUUCCACCAACUGGUUGUUGAUAGUUGCUUGGAGGUGUGCUUCUCAGGGAUACUGUAUAUACCCUCUGAAUGGCCGGGUUUCGUUGGAAUGCCUGGAAUUCUCCUCUCUCCACCUGCCCUUCUUUAUGGAAUAUGCACGGGCUUUGCUUUCACAAUUACGGUCUGUGUUCUUUCUGUUUACAUCCACUGGAGUAACACCUUUUUGGGAUUUAAUUAUUUGAUUCGGAGCGCUGCAGGAUCAUUCAAAUUAUGGGUCCAGAGAAGCUGCAGACUGUCCCAGCAGUACUAGGCACUGAAACAUCUCCUGUAUAUUACAAGGAGCACCCAGACAACUUCUGUUCAGUCUUACCUAUGAAGGGCAUCCUGACAAAACUAGCUUCAUUAGAAAGGUUUAUUUUAUCAUGGAACAGCAAAGUUGUGCAGAUUUUAACCCUGCCAUUUUAUGGAUUUUGCAUUUAGGAUUGAAUUUUUACACCUAAUUGUUCUGCACAAUCACCCCAAGUCUGUUUGAGCUUCGCCUUG
Erpetoichthys calabaricus (reedfish) is the source of this 1167-nucleotide long non-coding RNA. RefSeq lists it as uncharacterized. The transcript is spliced from 3 exons. The record is from RefSeq and is a predicted model, not a curated record. NCBI's taxonomy places the organism in Eukaryota, Metazoa, Chordata, Cladistia, Polypteriformes, Polypteridae.